Bos grunniens (domestic yak) is the source of this 1158-nucleotide long non-coding RNA. Lineage: Eukaryota; Metazoa; Chordata; Mammalia; Artiodactyla; Bovidae. The record is from Ensembl.
GCUGUUGAGCUGCAACUGCAGGCCCGGGCCGAGUUGCGAGCCGAAGGCGGCCGCUUUGCGGCCCAGCUCACCCGAGGGCAGCAGCGGCACGGCGGGCGGCAGCACGGGGGCCACGGGCGGCAGCGCGUACGGGUACUGGAGCGCCGCGGCCGCCGCCGCAGCUGCCGCGGCCGCCGGGUGCGAGUAAGCGCCGGCCGCGGCCGCAGGGUGCAGGCCGUAGGGGCGGCCGUAGGGCCCCGCGGCACCGGCCGCCGCCGCCAGGCUGUAGGCGCCGAAGCUCUGCAUCAUGAGCGCCGUCUGCUCACGCAGGUGCUCCUGCUGGUGGCGCUUGAAGCGUUUCCGGCGCCGCAGGAAGCUGCCGUUGUCGAACAUGUCCUCGGACUGAGGGUCCAGGGUCCAGUAGUUGCCCUUGCCCGGGUUGCCCGGUUCACGGGGGAUCUUGACGAAGCAGUCGUUGAGCGAGAGGUUGUGGCGGAUGCUGUUCUGCCAGGCGGGGAACUUCUCCCGAUAGUAGGGGAAGCGGUUGCUGAUGAACUCGCAGAUGCCGCUCAGAGUCAGCUUCUUCUGCGGGCUCUGCAGGAUAGCCAUGGUGAUGAGCGCGAUGUACGAAUAGGGCGGCUUCACCAGGCUGUUCUUGGGCUUGCUCGGGGCCAGGCCGCCCGCCGCACCGCUGCCGGAGCCGGGCCCGCCACCGCUCCCGCCGCCCUCCUCGCCGCCAGCGCCGCUCUUGCAGCCGUCGGCCUCGGAUGCUCCCGCCUCGCCCCCUGGCCCGGCCCCGGCUCCAGCCACCUCUUUGGGCAGUGCCAGGGGCUGCUGGUGCGGCUGCUGAGGCUGCCCGUGGUGGGGUGCCACCGGCGUCACCUCGUCCGCCUCGUCCAGGCGCAGCUCAGGCGGCCCCGCGGGACUGUCGCAGCCCCCAUCGCUGUCUUUCUCUUCCAACGCGUCGUCGCCCUCGCCCACCACAUCGAUGUCCACGUCCUCGGCCGUCAGCACCGUCUGGCCGGACAUGUCGCUGGCGCUGCCGCCACCGGAGAGGGUCAUCCCUCCUCGGGGUUGGUGGCGGCGGCGGGGAAGGAGCGGCGCGCGAUGGGCGUCUUCAGGGGCUGCCGCCAACCUCAGGAAAGGGGUUUGGGGCGCCCCCGAAAGACAGGGGAUUAG